RNAcentral lists this ribosomal RNA (440 nucleotides) under uncultured bacterium. RNAcentral describes it as "partial 16S ribosomal RNA". It matches the Rfam family "Bacterial small subunit ribosomal RNA", at positions 338 to 795 of the family's 1533-position model. The record is from RNAcentral.
CCUACGGGAGGCAGCAGUGAGGAAUAUUGGGCAAUGGGGGCAACCCUGAUCCAGCCAUGCCGCGUGAGUGAAGAAGGUCUUCGGAUUGUAAAGCUCUUUCGGACGUGACGAUGAUGACGGUGUCAUCUAAAGAAGCACCGGCAAACUAUGUGUCAGCAGCCGCGGUAAUACGAAGGGUGAGAGCGUUGGUGGGAAUUACUGGGCGUAAAGGGAGUGUAGGCGGAUAUGUAAGAUAGCGGUGAAAUGCCGGGGCUCAACCCCGGAACGGACACUAUGACUAUGUAUCUAGAGUAAUGGAGAGGAUAGCGGAAUACCCGGUGUAGAGGUGAAAGUCGUAGAUAUUGGGUAGAACACCAGUGGCGAAGGCGGCUAUCUGGACAUUUACUGACGCUGAGGCUCGAAAGCAUGGGGAUCAAACAGGAUUAGAUACCCGAGUAGUC